This 254-nucleotide ribosomal RNA is filed under the name uncultured bacterium. Its description in RNAcentral is "partial 16S ribosomal RNA". It matches the Rfam family "Bacterial small subunit ribosomal RNA", at positions 524 to 776 of the family's 1533-position model. The record is from RNAcentral.
UACGUAGGGGGCAAGCGUUGUCCGGAUUUAUUGGGCGUAAAGAGCGUGUAGGCGGCCAGGUAGGUCAGCUGUGAAAACCCGCGGCUCAACCGUGUGGUCUGCAGUCGAUACGGGCAGACUAGAGUUCGGCAGGGGAGACUGGAAUUCCUGGUGUAGCGGUGAAAUGCGCAGAUAUCAGGAGGAACACCGGUGGCGAAGGCGGGUCUCUGGGCCGAUACUGACGCUGAGGAGCGAAAGCGUGGGGAGCGAACAGG